This 77-nucleotide transfer RNA is filed under the name uncultured Nocardioidaceae bacterium. RNAcentral describes it as "tRNA-Pro-CGG". It matches the Rfam family "tRNA". Rfam says of the family: Transfer RNA (tRNA) molecules are approximately 80 nucleotides in length. The record is from RNAcentral. Lineage: Bacteria; Bacillati; Actinomycetota; Actinomycetes; Propionibacteriales; Nocardioidaceae.
CGGGCUGUGGCGCAGCUUGGUAGCGCGCGUCGUUCGGGACGACGAGGCCGCAGGUUCAAAUCCUGUCAGCCCGACCC